GAUGAACGCUGACAGAAUGCUUAACACAUGCGAGUCAACUUGAAUUUGGGUUUUUAACUUAGGUUUGGGUGGCGGACGGGUGAGUAACGCGUAAAGAACUUGCCUCACAGCUAGGGACAACAUUUGGAAACGAAUGCUAAUACCUAAUAUUAUGAUAAUAGGGCAUCCUAUAAUUAUGAAAGCUAUAAGCGCUGUGAGAGAGCUUUGCGUCCCAUUAGCUAGUUGGAGAGGUAACGGCUCACCAAGGCGAUGAUGGGUAGCCGGCCUGAGAGGGUGAUCGGCCACAAGGGGACUGAGACACGGCCCUUACUCCUACGGGAGGCAGCAGUGGGGAAUAUUGGACAAUGGACCGAGAGUCUGAUCCAGCAAUUCUGUGUGCACGAUGAAGUUUUUCGGAAUGUAAAGUGCUUUCAGCUGGGAAGAAACAAAUGACGGUACCAACAGAAGAAGUGACGGCUAAAUACGUG
RNAcentral lists this ribosomal RNA (467 nucleotides) under uncultured bacterium. RNAcentral describes it as "partial 16S ribosomal RNA". It matches the Rfam family "Bacterial small subunit ribosomal RNA", at positions 28 to 507 of the family's 1533-position model. The record is from RNAcentral.